GACGAACGCUGGCGGCGUGCUUAACACAUGCAAGUCGAACGGAAAGGCCCUGCUUUUGUGGGGUGCUCGAGUGGCGAACGGGUGAGUAACACGUGAGUAACCUGCCCUUGACUUUGGGAUAACUUCAGGAAACUGGGGCUAAUACCGGAUAGGAGCUCCUGCUGCAUGGUGGGGGUUGGAAAGUUUCGGCGGUUGGGGAUGGACUCGCGGCUUAUCAGCUUGUUGGUGGGGUAGUGGCUUACCAAGGCUUUGACGGGUAGCCGGCCUGGGAGGGUGACCGGCACCAUUGGGACUGAGAUACGGCCCAGCCUCCUACGGGAGGCAGCAGUGGGGAAUAUUGCACAAUGGGCGGAAGCCUGAUGCAGCAACGCCGCGUGCGGGAUGACGGCCUUCGGGUUGUAAACCGCUUUCGCCUGUGACGAAGCGUGAGUGACGGUAAUGGGUAAAGAAGCACCGGCUAACUACGUG
Molecule: ribosomal RNA, 468 nt
Filed under: uncultured bacterium
Lineage: Bacteria
Description: partial 16S ribosomal RNA
Rfam family: Bacterial small subunit ribosomal RNA
Source: RNAcentral